GUACUCGAGCGGCGAACGGGUGAGUAACACGUGAGCAACCUGCCCCAAGCUUUGGGAUAACCCUCGGAAACGGGGGCUAAUACCGAAUAGGACUUCCGGCCGCAUGGCUGGGGGUGGAAAGUUUUUCGGCUUGGGAUGGGCUCGCGGCCUAUCAGCUUGUUGGUGGGGUGAUGGCCUACCAAGGCGACGACGGGUAGCCGGCCUGAGAGGGCGACCGGCCACACUGGGACUGAGACACGGCCCAGACUCCUACGGGAGGCAGCAGUGGGGAAUAUUGCACAAUGGGCGGAAGCCUGAUGCAGCGACGCCGCGUGAGGGAUGACGGCCUUCGGGUUGUAAACCUCUUUCAGCAGGGACGAAGCGAGAGUGACGGUACCUGCAGAAGAAGCACCGGCCAACUACGUGCCAGCAGCCGCGGUAAGACGUAGGGUGCGAGCGUUGUCCGGAUUUAUUGGGCGUAAAGAGCUCGUAGGCGGCUUGUCGCGUCGACCGUGAAAACUUGGGGCUCAACCCCAAGCCUGCGGUCGAUACGGGCAGGCUAGAGUUCGGUAGGGGAGACUGGAAUUCCUGGUGUAGCGGUGAAAUGCGCAGAUAUCAGGAGGAACACCGGUGGCGAAGGCGGGUCUCUGGGCCGAUACUGACGCUGAGGAGCGAAAGCGUGGGGAGCGAACAGGAUUAGAUACCCUGGUAGUCCACGCUGUAAACGUUGGGCGCUAGGUGUGGGGGACCUCUCCGGUUUCCUGUGCCGCAG
Molecule: ribosomal RNA, 751 nt
Filed under: Micromonospora sp.
Lineage: Bacteria; Bacillati; Actinomycetota; Actinomycetes; Micromonosporales; Micromonosporaceae
Description: bacterial SSU rRNA
Rfam family: Bacterial small subunit ribosomal RNA
Source: RNAcentral